RNAcentral lists this ribosomal RNA (441 nucleotides) under uncultured bacterium. RNAcentral's name for it is "partial 16S ribosomal RNA". It matches the Rfam family "Bacterial small subunit ribosomal RNA", at positions 338 to 795 of the family's 1533-position model. The record is from RNAcentral.
CCUACGGGGGGCAGCAGUGGGGAAUAUUGCACAAUGGGGGAAACCCUGAUGCAGCAACGCCGCGUGAAGGAAGACGGUUUUCGGAUUGUAAACUUCUGUUCUUAGUGAAGAAUAAUGACGGUAGCUAAGGAGCUAGCCACGGCCAACUACGUGCCAGCAGCCGCGGUAAUACGUAGGUGGCAAGCGUUGUCCGGAAUUACUGGGGGUAAAGGGAGCGCAGGCGGGAAGCAAAGUCAGCUGUGAAAACUACGGGCUUAACUUGUAGACUGCAGUUGAAACUGGUUUUCUUGAGUGAAGGAGAGGUUGGCGGAAUUCCGAGUGUAGCGGUGAAAUGCGUAGAUAUUCGGAGGAACACCGGUGGCGAAGGCGGCCAACUGGACUUUAACUGACGCUGAGGCACGAAAGCGUGGGGAGCGAACAGGAUUAGAUACCCGGGUAGUC